RNAcentral lists this long non-coding RNA (2569 nucleotides) under Homo sapiens (human). RNAcentral's name for it is "LHRI_LNC276.17". The record is from RNAcentral. Lineage: Eukaryota; Metazoa; Chordata; Mammalia; Primates; Hominidae.
CCGCCCGUUCGCGCUGCCAGCAGCUUCCGCCUGCUACGGUCCUGGCAAGCACCUCGGGAUCCCAUUCCUUCACAGGGACCCUAGCCAGUUAAAGCUGAUACAUUCCUGUGGGUCAACUAUGCAACUAACUCAGAUUUUGAGCAAACAAAGCUCUCAAGUUGGUGAUCCUCAGGAGUCUCUGCAUUAGUUGGACAGCUCUUCUGGAAUUAUCUUCUAAGUCAACUGUGGGUUGGGUAGGUGGCUCUGCUGAUUUUUCGCUGGACUUCCACAUUUGGGACGAGUUGGCUGUCAUCAGCUCUAGAAAGGGUGUGGCCGUUUUACAUUGGCUGUUUUCCUCACAUUCCUCAAGCAGGUACUGUAAUAAAGAACUGGAGAAAUACAGUCAGAUGGGAAGUAGCCCUUGCUGUCAAGGAGCUUGCCAUCUAAUGGGGGAGACAGGCAAGUAAACCAAAGACUACACAGUGCAGUAUGGUAAGUGCCAUGAUUUUGAUGUGACAGGGCACAGUGGACGACCUUCCAAAUCAAAGCAAGUAACUAGGGGUUGACAAUGGUAAGUAUCAUAGUUGAAGUAUCCUUGAACAAGGUUUCAGGAAGAAGAAGAAGGGAAUUUCAUGCAGGGAAACAGCCAAAGCUCAGUGAGUCAAAAUAUCACAGCAUUCUUGGUAAGCCCAAUUGUUUUUUCUGUUUUGCUAUUUUGGUGGAGAGAAAGGAACACAUAAAGGAAUAACAUGAGAGAAGGCUAUUUGGGGAAGUGUAGUAGUUAAGGUUCUGGCUCAAACAACAACUGCAGCUCAUAAAGUUGACUUUAGUGGAAGGAUACUGGGGUAUCUCAUGGAAUCUUGGGAACUGUUGAAUAACCAGGGAAACUCUGGGAAACUCACUGGUAGGAAUCCAUAAACUGUCCUCCUGGUGGGCUGUAAACAACUCACCCUCUAUGCAUCUCACAUCAAAAUUCCAGUUUCUUGGGAAAACAAGUCUGUUUGCCCAAUUUGGGUCAUAUUUCCACGUCCAUGUUACUCAGGCAUGAUUCAUCUGCAAGUUAUGUGUAUAGAUAUUUUGCUACUGUUCCACCCUUACGCUGUGCUGGGGAGGGAGGUGUCACUGUGAGCUGUGUCGGUGCCUUAAGAGAUAUCUGUUGUGUCUUAUUACUUGGUUGCUUUUCCCCACAUGUACAAUGACAAAAAUGCCUUCAACCUAUUUGAUCCAGCCGUUCCAGUACAACUCCUAUACUUGCCAUCUUUCCAAGCCCAAAGGUACAUCCAGCUGAUGGAAGGAGCAUCUUGGUGUUAAUAUUCUUUUAGUCAUGGUCUCUGAAAGUAAAAUGUCUAUUCUUCUAAUUCUGGCACAAUCUUAUCUAGCUAUAGUUCCUCAUGGUCCUGCACUCCAUGGACUAAAUUGUAAGUAUAAUUACUACCAAUGUACUCUAUAAAUAACUUUUGGGGCCAGGGUGGCAAUAGUUGCUAGAGAGAAAAAAAAAAAAAAGGAAGGAGAAGAAAACAGUGAUAGUUCUUAUUUUAAAAGGAAAAAAAGAGGCAGGAGGCUCUCUUGAGGCCAGGAGUUUAAGACCAGCCUAGGCAGCAUUUCAAGACCCUGUCUCUACUAAAAAGUAAAAAAAAAAUUUAGUCAGGCAUGGUGGCAUGCACCUGUAGUCGUAGCUACUCAGGAGACUGAGGUGGGAGGAUUGAUUGAGCUCAGGAGUUUGAGGCUGCAGUGAGCAAUCAUCAUGCCAUUGCACUCCAGCCUGGGCAUCAGAGCAAGACCUUGUCUUUUAGGAAAAAAAGGCAGGGAAGAGGAAUAGGUAAUUUUUCAGUGUUCAGACAUUCCAGCAAUAUGUGUGGAGUACUCAUUCUCACUACAGUUUAUGAGGCCAUAGCUAGUAUGUAUGACUACCCAUCCAAGUUUCCCUGCUUACAGUUACUAUUCCAACUGAUUGGGGGGCUUUUCCUAAUAGAGUGAUUUAAGCCUUCAUUUUUAGACAUCUAAGCCCUUGGUGAUCAUCAGCAUAAAAUGUGACAAAUUAAACAAAAGCAAGACAGCACAUCAGAGAACAACUCUGAGGUGGAAUGAUUGGGAACCAAUGAAUAGUUGUUCAGUAAAUGGUUUAUAUUUUACAGAUGAUGAAACUGAAACACAAAAAAUUUAGAUUAACUCUUAGGUGACAAAGCCAGGAUUGAAGCUCAUGCGGUCUGGCUCCAGAACAACUCUUCUUCAUAGUUACGUUAUACUGCCCCUGCAUUGUUGGUAUUGAAAAUAACUGAUACCGUGCUUCCAGAAGAUUUUUCUAACAGUGUUUGCAAGCUAUAAAAUAGUGCUUUCACUUAGAAAAGGCUAGACGUGGUGGUUCAUGCCUGUAAUCCCAGCACUUUGAGAGGCCGAGGCACCAUGCUGGGAGAUAAGGAUCCAACAUAAGACAAACAGUGCUGAUGCUUUUGGAAAGCUCAUAUUCAAGCUGGGGAGACAAACAACAUACAAUUGCUGAACAGAAGACUUUUGAGAGUCAGCAGAAAUCUUCCACUUUGCAUGGUUCUCUUGAUGUGAAAUCAUCUAUAUAGCCCCAGAAUUGGAAAAG